RNAcentral lists this ribosomal RNA (1427 nucleotides) under metagenome. Its description in RNAcentral is "bacterial LSU rRNA". It matches the Rfam family "Bacterial large subunit ribosomal RNA", at positions 1417 to 2925 of the family's 2925-position model. The record is from RNAcentral.
GUUGCACAGACGGUAGAGAUUCCGUCCCCACCGAAAGACUUAAGCACAGGGACACUUUCAGAAGGUCGGAGCCAGGUGUUGGCUCUGGUAGUGAUCGAGGGAAAUAUAGUACCGAAGUCCGGCUGGAAGAGAGGCGAGAAAAGCUGUGUGUAUGUUUAAGGUGCCCGUACCGCAAACCGACACAGGUAGGUAGGAAGAAGAUUCUAAGGCCAACGGGAGAAGGGUUGUUAAGGAACUCGGCAAGUUGACCCCGUAACUUCGGAAUAAGGGGUGCUCACGAGAGUGAGCCGCAGAGAAUAGGCCCAGGCAACUGUUUACCAAAAACACAGGUUUGUGCUAAAUCGAAAGAUGACGUAUACGAGCUGACGCCUGCCCGGUGCUGGAAGGUUAAAAGGAGAUGUGCAAGCAUUGAAUUGAAGCCCCAGUGAACGGCGGCCGUAACUAUAACGGUCCUAAGGUAGCGAAAUUCCUUGUCAGGUAAGUUCUGACCCGCAUGAAAGGCGUAAUAAUCUGGGCACUGUCUCAACAGCCCGCCCGGCGAAAUUGUAGUACCGGUGAUGAUGCCGGUUACCCGCGACAAGACGGAAAGACCCCAUGGAGCUUUACUGUAGCCUGAUAUUGGGUUUCGGUGUUGCAUGCACAGGAUAGAUGGGACGCUGGGAAAGAGUCGCUUUGGCGAUUCUGGAGCGGACGUUGGGAUACCAUCCUUGCGACAUUGGAAUUCUAACCUGCGCCUCUGAAUCGAGGCGGGGGACAUUGUCAGGUGGGCAGUUUGACUGGGGCGGUCGCCUCCUAAAAAGUAGCGGAGGCGUUCAAAGGUUCGCUCAGCUUGGACGGAAACCAAGCUAGAGAGUGCAAACGCAAAAGCGAGCCUGACUGCGAGACUGACGGGUCGAGCAGAGACGAAAGUCGGAGUUAGUGAUCCGGUGGUAUGUGAGUGGAAAUGCCAUCGCUCAACGGAUAAAAGUUACCCUGGGAUAACAGGCUGAUCUCCCCCAAGAGUCCACAUCGACGGGGAGGUUUGGCACCUCGAUGUCGGCUCAUCGCAUCCUGGGGCUGAAUUCGGUCCCAAGGGUUUGGCUGUUCGCCAAUUAAAGCGGUACGCGAGCUGGGUUCAGAACGUCGUGAGACAGUUCGGUCCCUAUCUGUCGUGGGCGCAGGAUAUUUGAGAGGCGCUGUCCCUAGUACGAGAGGACCGGGAUGGACGAACCUCUGGUGCACCAGUUGUCACGCCAGUGGCACAGCUGGGCAGCUAUGUCCGGAUCGGAUAAACGCUGAAAGCAUCUAAGCGUGAAGCCGGCCUUAAGAUAAGAUAUCCCACUGAGUCAAUCAGGUAAGACCCCUUGAAGACUACAAGGUUGAUAGGCACAGAGUGUAAGCGGAGUGAUCCGUUCAGCUAGUGUGUACUAAUAGGUCGAGGGCUUGAC